This 533-nucleotide small RNA is filed under the name Pan troglodytes (chimpanzee). Its description in RNAcentral is "processed transcript". Lineage: Eukaryota; Metazoa; Chordata; Mammalia; Primates; Hominidae. The record is from RNAcentral.
CAAACUUUUAAGAUUUCAGGACCUCUGAUGGCUGAUUUCAUCUUCAAGGUUAUCAGCUCAAUUCUGCUGAAUGUGUGGAUAUCCGCUUGAAGAGGGUAGUUCCUGACCAUUAUUGUCACUACUACCCUGAAAAUGUAAAACCAAAACCAAAACUGAAGGAAUGCAGCAUGGAUCCCUGCCCAUCAAGUACCUGCUGACUUGGAUUGCCUGGGGAAGUUUCCUGGCUUACUACAAUACCUUAAAAUAACAGAACAAUAUCAAGUCCCAGAAUCCUCCAGAUAUCUGCCAGCUGGCUUAGGAAGAAGUGUGCAAGUGGAAAAGGAAGCGUUCUCAGUGGAUUUCAUUUCCUGUUACUAAACUGCACAUUUCCUGUAAGCCUGGUUGAACGUAAUUAUUAAUAGAGACCUUUCAAAGGACAAAUUCUGUGAAAUAAAGUGGUUUUCUGAAGAGCCUACUAAUAGGACAGUGUGUUAAUAUCACUAAUAUAUUAAGAGAGUAAUGAUUAUAAAAAGGAAUAAAUUUAUUGAAAUUGC